This is a long non-coding RNA of Haplochromis burtoni (Burton's mouthbrooder), 3764 nucleotides long. RefSeq lists it as uncharacterized. The transcript has 2 exons. NCBI's taxonomy places the organism in Eukaryota, Metazoa, Chordata, Actinopteri, Cichliformes, Cichlidae. The record is from RefSeq and is a predicted model, not a curated record.
UUCUCAGUCCCACUGACAUGCCUUCUAUUGAAGAAAAAUAGUCUGGGGACGAGACAGACAACUUCCGGAUCAAUGGGUCCAAGGUGAGUAAGGUAGUUAAAUAACUCCUUAGUGGUAGGGCCCCAGGUGAUUUGCCUUGAGUUACUAUAGGUAUAUCUUGGUUGACACACCUCUGCAACAUCACUUGGAGAUCCAGGGCAGUCCCUCUGGAUUGGCAGACAGGGGUGGUGGUUACUUGGGUGAUUCAAUUACAGUGGGAUCACACUACUCAGCCUCCCUAGGAAGAAAAGUCUAUGCCAGGGUACUGGAGACAAGAGUUUGUCCAUAAUUCGAACCUCGGAUUCAGUGAUUGUCAUCCUGGUCAUAGACCGCUAAACCAGAUCUUUAUCCUAAUGAGGAAAUUCAAGUUUGAAUGGGGGUUACAGUCUACAUGUGUUUUAUGGGAUUUGACCGCAUCCCUCGAGACAUUGUAUGGAAGGUGCUUUGGGAGUAUGGGGCAUCUAGCUCAUUAUCAAAGGCCAUUUGGUCCUUGUGCAACUGCAGCAAGAGCUUGGUCUGUCUUGCUGACAAUAGACUCAUUCCCAGCAGGUGUUGGGAUUAUGAUUAUGUUCAUAAUUUUUUAAACAAAAUUUCUAGGCAGUCUUAAGUAGCAAAAGGCCUCCCCUCUGGUUGUCUCAGGAUCUCAUCUCUAUUUUUUGUGGUUCUGUUGGCUUCAUCAGGUGGUGGCAUCCAGAUUGUACAUCAACAGUUUGCGGCCCAAUGUGAAGCAAUGGGAAUACCAGUUAGCACUUUCAAGUGUGGGGCUUGAAAGUUCUUAGCAAGAAUAGAUUAGAGAGCCUUCUUGGGGUUAGGGACAAGUUGUUGCCCCAAAUGGAGGAAUUCAAGUAUCUGGGGGUCAAAAGUGAAGAGAAAGGAGAGCGGGGGAGUGACAAAUAGAUUGGAGCCAUGUCUGCAGUGAUGCAUAUGCUUUACUGGUCUCUUGUGGUAAAGAGAGAUCUGAAUAUAAAUAUGCUAUGGUGUUGAUUUUACUAGUUGAUAAUGACGUCUACUGCCUGGCCAUCCUGGCCCAAUCCCCAGAGCUGGGUUUGCCAUUCCCCACCUGCCGUGGCCACCUGCAAGCCAUCAAACAGCAAACAGCUGUCCAGUACUUAAGAUGUGCGUUGGCUUCCACACUCUGCUAGACCGUCCACUACCCCAUGAUGAAUCAUUACCCACCACACCUGCAGCUGAUUCUCGUGUUCAUCUCUCCUCUCACCUGAAAAAGCUCAUGGACUAGCUACUCCGACAGCGUUCACAGAAAUUCACUCUGCCUGCCACUCACCUCUGGAUCAUGCAAAUUGGCUGGAUUGCCUCACUCUCACCCUGUUGGACACUCACACCAGUUCCUCCCUCCCUCCGGACCCCAGUCUCUCAUCUAACCAGUAACCUGUAAUUUCUUCAUUCUAAUCAUUACCUGGCAAUUCCUCCUACUCCCUCACUAAUCCCUCUCUCCCUUUGCUUCUAGUGACUGCAACAUCUAAGACCCUCACCUCUGUCUCCUACCCCCCAAAGUUCUCCUUCUUUUUUCCUUGUGAUUAAAUAAACUUAAGUUCACUGUAUCUCACUAGUCAAUUGAGUUUGCUUUUGGGUUCAGCCCUCGUACCAGCCUAGUGGCCCCUGACAGAUAAACAUCCCUACCCUCGCCUGGCUAGUGACCUAAAGUAUGCGAUUGCAAAUACAAGCGGUGAACAUUUUGUUGUCUCCAGAAUGUGGCUCAGUGCUCCUUUAGAUAUAGUUUAAGAAAUUCAGUCAUUUAGGAGGGAACUAGACUAAAGCCGCUACUCCUCCACAUUAAACUGAACCAAUUGAGGUGGUCUGGGCAUCUGACUAGGAUACCUCCUGGCCACCUCCUGAGCGAGGUGUUCUGGGCAUACUGCAAAGCUAUAGGGUAUUGAAGUAUGGCACUGUGAACCCCUUGAGCCUGCUGUACCACCCCUCCCUUGAAGUUGAGCCAUGGACCACACUGCCACCACAGGCACCUUUCUUUGAUCACAAGUGCCAUAGCUGUGUGCAGGCAGGCAGGAUGAUAGACCCAAACGCAGGCCUCGUGGAGACAAACGUGAACUCAAAAACCUCAGCUUUAUUUGUUGGCAAUUACUAAACAGAAAACUAAACUGGUGAAACAUGUCAGUUUCUAGCUUCACCACACGGGCAAUUAUGAGGUUACGACGCGACAUAGGGCAAGGAAAACACAGGGCUAAAAACACAGUAACCAGGGAAUGGGAGACAGGAGGGAGACACAGCUGGGAGAAAUCAGACUAAACUAGACAAGGGAAGCAAACCUAGAAGCACUGACAUGAGACACGCACUUUUAAAGUAAAUCAGAAAACACAUCGACUUAACUCAAGAUACGUAAACUUAACAGAGACCGGGGGAGACAGAACAUAGGAACCUGAAACGUGGGAUAGGAGGGCACAGAGUAGACAACACAGAACACAGGGAAGCCACAUAACAAAACCUAAGAACUAGUAAUCACAUAAUAAAGAAUUAGAGAGCUAGAAAUACUGAGAAAUAAACCUAAAUACUAGUAGUGAUAACAGUGAUAAAAAUAAUCAAUGAUCAAAAAAACAGAACAAAACUGGGUCCCAGGACCGUGACAACAAGCUUGUAGAGAAUAGCCUGCCAAAGGCAAGCCUCUAAGUAACGAAUUUGAGGAUUUUUUAAAUAAUGUUAAAUGAUUUCUACAAAACAUGAAGUGUGCCAGAGCUGAAGAGGUGUCUAUAAUAUCACCUCUUCUUCAGAUAACAAGGCUAGGAGAAUCCGAUGUCCUCCGAGUCCAAGUGAAUCUCAGGUCAGUUCUCUCAAUCUAAAUUUGUAAUUUAUUUGUAAUUAUGACUUAUUUCAAUUGUAUGAAAGAUUAAAAUGGAGUGCUGGUUUAGCUCAGUGGGUGAGCUAUAUGCCGUAUGGCAGGACAGCAUCUGGCCUGGGCCAAACCCGGGCUGUGUGUCCUCACCUCUCUCUCUAAGCUUUACUGUCUAUCGUCACUGCAUCUGUCCCAAAAAAGGCUAAAAGCCAAAAAAGUAAUUUUUUUUUGUUUUUUAAAGUAAGCAUAAACACUUACGAGUGUUUCAUUAAACUUCAGCUUUUUCUCCUCAACUUCCAGUCUUAUAGAAAUCUGUUUGCAGGAAGAAUAUUCUACUUUAAAUCAAUCAGUAAUCAACUAAGGACACUGACAGAGUUUGAAUUCAUUUGAAUACCUGACUUAGUCUUUUAUUUGUUGUUAUCGAUUGUCUGUUUGGCUCUUACUCAUAGUGUCUAUAAUUAUUUUAUCUGAAGUGAGAACUAAAUCAGAUUUUUUAAAAGUCUGGGAAAUGAGGUAGAAACUCAGAGUAAGGGCCAAGCAUAUGAUAGAUAACAACAAAUAAAACAGUUCUUUGUUUAUUGUUUGUUUAAAGGACUUCCUGUCUGUGAUGCAGUGUGCAUUUCUUCUCCACCCCUUAUCUAUUCUCCACUGUAGCAUGUCAUUAAAGUUUUGCCUUCUCCCUUAGUCUCUUUUUUGUUCUGUCUCCUCAUGCUCGCUUUUUACUUUUUUAUUUUCGUCUUUUCUCGUUCAUCUGACCCCCAACAAGUCACAGCAGCCCCUCUCCAAGCCUUGGGGUCACAGAAAACUGGGAGCUAUCUCAUAUUUAUAUGGGGAGAUAACCUCACAUCUGGUGUGGCCUGAGAUUCCCAGAGAGGUAGAGGCUAAGACCCAACCUGACACAUAAACAUAGACAAACAGGCAA